This 496-nucleotide ribosomal RNA is filed under the name uncultured bacterium. RNAcentral's name for it is "partial 16S ribosomal RNA". It matches the Rfam family "Bacterial small subunit ribosomal RNA", at positions 28 to 506 of the family's 1533-position model. The record is from RNAcentral.
GAUGAACGCUGGCGGCGUGCCUAAUACAUGCAAGUCGAGCGAACAGACGAGGCGCUUGCUCCUCUGACGUUAGCCGCGGACGGGUGUGUAACACGUGGAUAACCUACCUAUAAGACUGGUAUAACUUCGGGAAACCGGCGCUAAUACCGUAUAAUAUAUUGAACCGCAUUGUUCAAUAGUGAAAUACGGUUUUGCUGUCACUUAUCGAUGGAUCCGCGCCUCAUUAGCUAGUUGGUAAGGUAUCAGCUUACCAAGGCAACGAUGCGUAGCCGACCUGAGAGGGUGAUGGGGGACACUGGAGGUGAGACACGGUACAGAGACCGACGGGAGGCAGCAGUAGGGAAGGGUCCGAGAUGGGCGAAAGAUUGAAGGAGGGACGGCGCGUGAGUGAUGAAGGGCUGCGGAUCGUAAAACUCUGUUAGGAGGGAAGAACAAAUGUGUAAGUAACGAUGCACGAGUGGACGGUAUGUAUACAGAAAGCCACGGCUAACUACGU